GACGAACGCUGGCGGCGUGCUUAACACAUGCAAGUCGAACGGAAAGGCCCUGCUUUUGUGGCGUGCUCGAGUGGCGCACGGGUGAGUAACACGUGAGUAGCCUGCCCUUGACUUUGGGAUAACUUCAGGAAACUGGGGCUAAUACCGGAUAGGAGCUCCUGCUGCAUGGUGGGGGUUGGAAAGUUUCGGCGGUUGGGGAUGGACACGCGGCUUAUCAGCUUGUUGGUGGGGUCGUGGCUUACCAAGGCUUUGACGGGUAGCCGGCCGGAGAGGGGGACCGGCCACAUUGGUACUGCGGUGCGGCGCAGACGCCUACGGGGGGAAGCAGUGGGGAAUAUUGCACAAUGAGGGGAAGCCUGAUGCAGCAGCGCCGCGGGCGGGAGGAAGGCCUUCGGGUUGUAAACCGCUUUCGCCCGUGACGAAGCGGGAGUGACGGUAAUGGGUAAAGAAGCACCGGCUAACUACGUG
Molecule: ribosomal RNA, 468 nt
Filed under: uncultured bacterium
Lineage: Bacteria
Description: partial 16S ribosomal RNA
Rfam family: Bacterial small subunit ribosomal RNA
Source: RNAcentral